GACGAACGCUGGCGGCGUGCUUAACACAUGCAAGUCGAACGGAAAGGCCCUGCUUUUGUGGGGUGCUCGAGUGGCGAACGGGUGAGUAACACGUGAGUAACCUGCCCUUGACUUUGGGAUAACUUCAGGAAACUGGGGCUAAUACCGGAUAGGAGCUCCUGCUGCAUGGUGGGGGUUGGAAAGUUUCGGCGGUUGGGGAUGGACUCGCGGCUUAUCAGCUUGUUGGUGGGGUAGUGGCUUACCAAGGCUUUGACGGGUAGCCGGCCUGAGAGGGUGACCGGCCACAUUGGGAACGAGAUACGGCCCAGACUUCGACGGGAGGCAGGAGUGGGAAUAUUGAACAAUGGGCGGAAGCCUGAUGCAGCAACGCCGCGUGCGGGAUGACGGCCUUCGGGUUGUAAACCGCUUUCGCCUGUGACGAAGCGUGAGUGACGGUAAUGGGUAAAGAAGCACCGGCUAACUACGUG
This 467-nucleotide ribosomal RNA is filed under the name uncultured bacterium. RNAcentral describes it as "partial 16S ribosomal RNA". It matches the Rfam family "Bacterial small subunit ribosomal RNA", at positions 28 to 507 of the family's 1533-position model. The record is from RNAcentral.